Molecule: transfer RNA, 84 nt
Filed under: bacterium
Lineage: Bacteria
Also listed under: 1 other name
Description: tRNA-Leu
Rfam family: tRNA
About the family: Transfer RNA (tRNA) molecules are approximately 80 nucleotides in length. Their secondary structure includes four short double-helical elements and three loops (D, anti-codon, and T loops).
Source: RNAcentral
GCCCGGGUGGUGGAAUGGUAUACACGGAGGACUUAAAAUCCUCUGCCUCACGGCAUGCGAGUUCGACUCUCGCCCCGGGCACCA